Long non-coding RNA from Gossypium arboreum, 404 nucleotides. RefSeq lists it as uncharacterized. The record is from RefSeq and is a predicted model, not a curated record. Lineage: Eukaryota; Viridiplantae; Streptophyta; Magnoliopsida; Malvales; Malvaceae. The transcript is spliced from 3 exons.
UAUCUAGAUUUCUCUUCAUUUCUCUUCAAUUCCAGAAGCUAAGCCAUAGGAGGGUUCCCUAAGCUGAUAUUUCAUAAUUUUUGCACCAAAUCUGGAAGAUUUAAAUACGAAGCUAGAUCGAGGAAAGGAAAAAGUUCGGGAUUAGUAGAUUUUUAUUGUUUACAAACAAGUAUCAAGUGUUAAGAGCUCGGAGGCCGGAUUUGGUUGGAGACACAUCACACUGUCAACCUUAGGAUUUUGGUAUAUAAAGAAACUUUAUUUUGGAAAUCAAUGGCAUGUAUAAGCUAACAAAGUAAAUGUUAACGUGAAAUGAAUGUAAAGUUAGCCAUUAGUAUGGUUAACAAACCUGGUUUUAGAUAUGUGAUGACGUUAUCUUAUAAAUAUGCAUGAAUUUAUCUUGAAAA